Molecule: ribosomal RNA, 301 nt
Filed under: uncultured bacterium
Lineage: Bacteria
Description: partial 16S ribosomal RNA
Rfam family: Bacterial small subunit ribosomal RNA
Source: RNAcentral
CAGCAGCCGCGGGAAUACAGAGGGUGCAAGCGUUAAUCGGAUUUACUGGGCGUAAAGGGCGCGUAGGUGGUUAUUUAAGUGAGAUGUGAAAGCCCCGGGCUUAACCUGGGAACUGCAUCUUAUACUGGGUAACUGGAGUGCAGUAGAGGGUAGUGGAAUUUCCGGUGUAGCGGUGAAAUGCGUAGAUAUCGGAAGGAACACCAGUGGCGAAGGCGGCUACCUGGACUGAGACUGACACUGAGGCGCGAGAGCGUGGGGAGCAAACAGGAUUAGAUACCCGUGUAGUCCCUGUCUCUUAUAC